Molecule: long non-coding RNA, 1952 nt
Organism: Felis catus (domestic cat)
Lineage: Eukaryota; Metazoa; Chordata; Mammalia; Carnivora; Felidae
Exons: 2
Source: RefSeq, a predicted model, not a curated record
AUCACCAUAAAGCAAGUCAAAUGAAGUGCUAGGUUUCCCAGGGCAUAGAAAAGAUUUACGCUAUGCUGUAGUCUGUUCGGUGUGCAUUAGCAUUAUGUCUAAAAACACAGUGGACAUACCUUAUUUUCAAAAUAUGCAGCUAGUAGGAGCACGGGGGGGUUUGCGUCCAGGUCACUUUGCCUGGGACAGACCUGGCAAGUUGCUAACAGCACCCCCUUCCAUGCCCCAGGGUGUCUCUGUUCAGAUACCAAGUUGUGUGUUCACACGGGCUGACACCCACAGUGCUGUUGCCUACUAGCAUAGCCUCACAGGAAGCCCAUGUGCAGGUGACAGGAAGGAGGCAGGCCUGCGCAGCGUGGGGGCUUGGCCUGCUGCCUCCCCGCCUCUCUGCCCCCCUCUCCCUGCCUCUGUUCCUCCAGCCUCCCUGCCUCCCACCUCCCUUCCUCCAGCCUCCCUGCAUCCUGUCCCCCAGCCCUCCUGCCUCCAGCCUCUAGCCUGCACAUGUAGGGAGGGGCAGUCCUGCAGCCAAGCCAUGCUGUGUGCCCCGAGCCUGUGCUACUGAGGAAGCCAUUUCUUCAGCCUGUACUACUGAGGAAUAGAAAAUUGUAAGUACAUUUGGCACUGAAGUGAAGAUUUAUUUAGAGCGAGACAAGAAAUGACAGCUAAUUGCAAGUUUCCACAGUAUCACAGCAUCAUCAAACCCCAAAAAAGAAACCUCUACCGUAUUUUUGUCCUGCAUUUUGGGGAUGCAUUCCCUGUGAUGACCUUCCUCCACCUAUAGUAUGAUACAUCAAGACGCCGGGAAGAAGUUCCAGACACCAAUGCCCAGCUCCUCACAUGGCCCACCUGUUUCUUUCCACCCCCACAUGUUGCCUGUGUGGGUCGCUGUUGAGCACGUUCAUACUGCGUCUGCACCAUCGUGUGGUGCCCUGUGGGUGAAGAUGGCACCAGUGCAGGUAAGAGGGUUUCUGAAGACCAUUCCUACACCAGGACAGGUAGAAAUCGCUUAACUAUGCUAAGAAGAGACUAAAAACCACGUAACAUCCUAAACCCAAACAAACCCUGUCCUCAAUUCGAAUCCCCCUUAUCCACGCCUAUUCCCAUUUCCGAUGUCCACAGACACGGGGAAGUGUGGAGGGGGGAGGGCGAUAUUCAGGAUGGAAGAGAUAGUAACUUUAACAAUCGCAAAUUGUAAACCUGCCUGGAGCUUGCCCUUGUCUUCCCCUUCCCCAUGCCUCUCCAGUCCGAGCACUUGAGUCCUCUGGAAAUGUACUAGAUUGCUGAUGCAUUCAGGAAGUACUUUCUGAACAUCUACUUAUCCUAGGCACUGUGAUUAGCACUGGAGUACAGCCAGGAUGUUGGAAAAGUUCUCCACCUGGAACUUUCUGGGCUGCUUCGCACUGAAGUUGGUUUCCUAGCCUGGCAUCAGUCCUGAGACAAAGCCGUCAGACUCACAAAGCUGCUCAGGGGGUUGUGAGCUGGAGAGAAACUUCCGCCUAUCAGAGGCCCUUUUGUCCCCUCCUCCUCCCAAUCCAGCCCCAACCAAUCACUUAGCAAUUUCUGGGAUCAAACCUCCUUAUCACUUAGAGGCACCGUCUUAAGAUUACUACAGGCUCCAAGGAAGGUCCUUUUUGAAAAUCUUCAGGAGAACGUCUAUCAAUUAAAAGAUUAAAAUUGAUACUGAAUUUCUGGUAUGUCUAACAAGGAGAAGAAUUCGUCAGAUCUACUCGUCACACAUUUGAAGGAGACAAAAUAUAAAAAGAACUAAAUUGGCACAAAACUUCCUUUCAGAAACUGAGCUAGCAUUACCGAAAAGAGCAAAGUCCACUAAGCUCAUUCAUUGGCUUAUGAAAUUGUAGCCUAGUGGCUUACAUCCAACCCCAGGCCUCUCUUAGUCCUGCCUUCUACUUGGGAAAAUUUAUAUGCAAUAAAGAUCUGAAUACCUAGUGAAA